RNAcentral lists this ribosomal RNA (410 nucleotides) under bacterium enrichment culture clone ALO1_GLFRUDD03F334C. Its description in RNAcentral is "bacterial SSU rRNA". It matches the Rfam family "Bacterial small subunit ribosomal RNA", at positions 9 to 417 of the family's 1533-position model. The record is from RNAcentral.
GAGUUUGAUCUUGGCUCAGAUUGAACGCUGGCGGCAUGCCCUUACACAUGCAAGUCGAACGGCAGCACGGGAGCUUGCUCCUGGUGGGCGAGUGGCGAACGGGUGAGUAAUGCAUCGGAACGUAUCCUGGAGUGGGGGAUAACGUAGCGAAAGUUACGCUAAUACCGCAUAUUCUGUGAGCAGGAAAGCGGGGGACCUUCGGGCCUCGCGCUCUUGGAGCGGCCGAUGUCGGAUUAGCUAGUUGGUGAGGUAAAGGCUCACCAAGGCGACGAUCCGUAGCAGGUCUGAGAGGAUGAUCUGCCACACUGGAACUGAGACACGGUCCAGACUCCUACGGGAGGCAGCAGUGGGGAAUUUUGGACAAUGGGGGCAACCCUGAUCCAGCCAUGCCGCGUGAGUGAAGAAGGCCU